ACGCUAGCUACAGGCUUAACACAUGCAAGUCGAGGGGAAACGGCAUUAAGUGCUUGCACUUUUUGGACGUCGACCGGCGUACGGGUGAGUAACGCGUAUCCAACCUUCCCAUGACUAAGGGAUAACCUGCCGAAAGGCAGACUAAUACCUUAUGGUCUUCACUGACGGCAUCAGAUGUGAAGUAAAGAUUUAUCGGUUAUGGAUGGGGAUGCGUCUGAUUAGUUAGUUGGCGGGGUAACGGCCCACCAAGGCAACGAUCAGUAGGGGUUCUGAGAGGAAGGUCCCCCACAUUGGAACUGAGACACGGUCCAAACUCCUACGGGAGGCAGCAGUGAGGAAUAUUGGUCAAUGGGCGAGAGCCUGAACCAGCCAAGUAGCGUGCAGGAUGACGGCCCUAUGGGUUGUAAACUUCUUUUGUAUGGGGAUAAAGUCAAUCACGUGUGAUUGUUUGCAGGUACCAUACGAAUAAGGACCGGCUAAUUCCGUGCCAGCAGCCGCGGUAAUACGGAAGGUCCGGGCGUUAUCCGGAUUUAUUGGGUUUAAAGGGAGCGUAGGCUGGAGAUUAAGUGUGUUGUGAAAUGUAGACGCUCAACGUCUGACUUGCAGCGCAUACUGGUUUCCUUGAGUACGCACAACGUUGGCGGAAUUCGUCGUGUAGCGGUGAAAUGCUUAGAUAUGACGAAGAACUCCGAUUGCGAAGGCAGCUGACGGGAGCGCAACUGACGCUGAAGCUCGAAGGUGCGGGUAUCGAACAGGAUUAGAUACCCUGGUAGUCCGCACAGUAAACGAUGGAUGCCCGCUGUUGGUACGUGGUAUCAGCGGCUAAGCGAAAGCAUUAAGCAUCCCACCUGGGGAGUACGCCGGCAACGGUGAAACUCAAAGGAAUUGACGGGGGCCCGCACAAGCGGAGGAACAUGUGG
This 920-nucleotide ribosomal RNA is filed under the name uncultured bacterium. Its description in RNAcentral is "bacterial SSU rRNA". It matches the Rfam family "Bacterial small subunit ribosomal RNA", at positions 33 to 944 of the family's 1533-position model. The record is from RNAcentral.